This 99-nucleotide non-coding RNA is filed under the name bovine gut metagenome. Its description in RNAcentral is "SAM riboswitch (S box leader)". It matches the Rfam family "SAM riboswitch aptamer (S box leader)". Rfam says of the family: The SAM riboswitch is found upstream of a number of genes which code for proteins involved in methionine or cysteine biosynthesis in Gram-positive bacteria. The record is from RNAcentral.
CUUAUCCAGAGUGACGGAGGGAACAGGCCCAAUGAAGUCCGGCAACCUGCUUUGAAGAGUAAGGUGCCAAGUCCUGCGGUGUGUAUGCCGAAAGAUGAG